GAUGAACGCUGGCGGCGUGCCUAAUACAUGCAAGUCGAGCGAACAGACGAGGAGCUUGCUCCUCUGACGUUAGCGGCGGACGGGUGAGUAACACGUGGAUAACCUACCUAUAAGACUGGGAUAACUUCGGGAAACCGGAGCUAAUACCGGAUAAUAUAUUGAACCGCAUGGUUCAAUAGUGAAAGACGGUUUUGCUGUCACUUAUAGAUGGAUCCGCGCCGCAUUAGCUAGUUGGUAAGGUAACGGCUUACCAAGGCGACGAUGCGUAGCCGAACUGAGAGGGUGAUCGGCCACACUGGAACUGAGACACGGUCCAGACUCCUACGGGAGGCAGCAGUAGGGAAUCUUCCGCAAUGGGCGAAAGCCUGACGGAGCAACGCCGCGUGAGUGAUGAAGGUCUUCGGAUCGUAAAACUCUGUUAUUAGGGAAGAACAAAUGUGUAACUAUGCACGUCUUGACGGUACCUAAUCAGAAAGCCACGGCUAACUACGUG
RNAcentral lists this ribosomal RNA (493 nucleotides) under uncultured bacterium. Its description in RNAcentral is "partial 16S ribosomal RNA". It matches the Rfam family "Bacterial small subunit ribosomal RNA", at positions 28 to 507 of the family's 1533-position model. The record is from RNAcentral.